AAGGCCUGAUGUGUGUGAGAUUACCCGCUGAAUUUAAGCAUAUAAGUAAGCGGAGGAAAAGAAACUAACUAGGAUUCCCUUAGUAAUGGCGAAUGAACAGGGAUCAGCUCAGUGCCAAAUCGGAAUCACUUGUGGUUCUGAAAUGUGGCUUGAAGGCAGUACCAGUGGCAUCGCGGACGAAAGUCUCUUGGAAAAGAGCGUCAUAGAGGGUGAGAAUCCCGUGAGUCGUUCGCCGUUUGUCACGUACGGUCUGCGUUCUAACGAGUCGCGUUCCUUGGGAUUGGAGCGUAAACGGGUGGUAAAUUUCAUCCAAAGCAAAAUAUAUACUCGAGACCGAUAGCACAAAAGUACCGUGAGGGAAAGGUGAAAAGAAACUUUGAGAAGAGGGUUAAAUAGUGCCCUGAAAUCGUUGAGAAGGAAGCGGGAUGCCGCCGUUGCAUAUGCUGAUUGUAGGAUUGCUGCUCGCUC
RNAcentral lists this non-coding RNA (468 nucleotides) under Perkinsus marinus ATCC 50983. RNAcentral's name for it is "Eukaryotic large subunit ribosomal RNA". It matches the Rfam family "Eukaryotic large subunit ribosomal RNA", at positions 1 to 466 of the family's 3401-position model. Lineage: Eukaryota; Perkinsozoa; Perkinsida; Perkinsidae. The record is from Rfam by way of RNAcentral.